CCUACGGGUGGCAGCAGUGAGGAAUAUUGGUCAAUGGACGGGAGUCUGAACCAGCCAAGUAGCGUGCAGGAUGACUGCCCUAUGGGUUGUAAACUUCUUUUAUAUGGGAAUAAAACGUUCCACGUGUGGGAUUUUGUAUGUACCAUAUGAAUAAGGAUCGGCUAACUCCGUGCCAGCAGCCGCGGUAAUACGGAGGAUCCGAGCGUUAUCCGGAUUUAUUGGGUUUAAAGGGAGCGUAGGUGGAUUGUUAAGUCAGUUGUGAAAGUUUGCGGCUCAACCGUAACAUUGCAGUUGAAACUGGCAGUCUUGAGUACAGGAGAGGUGGGCGGAAUUCGUGGUGUAGCGGUGAAAUGCUUAGAUAUCACGAAGAACUCCGAUUGCGAAGGCAGUUCACUGGACUGCAACUGACACUGAGGCUCGAAAGUGUGGGUAUCAAACAGGAUUAGAUACCCUAGUAGUC
This 460-nucleotide ribosomal RNA is filed under the name uncultured bacterium. RNAcentral describes it as "partial 16S ribosomal RNA". It matches the Rfam family "Bacterial small subunit ribosomal RNA", at positions 338 to 795 of the family's 1533-position model. The record is from RNAcentral.